RNAcentral lists this RNase P RNA (362 nucleotides) under Candidatus Omnitrophota bacterium. RNAcentral's name for it is "Candidatus Omnitrophica bacterium (hot springs metagenome) RNase P RNA component class A". It matches the Rfam family "Bacterial RNase P class A". From Rfam's summary of the family: Ribonuclease P (RNase P) is a ubiquitous endoribonuclease, found in archaea, bacteria and eukarya as well as chloroplasts and mitochondria. Its best characterised activity is the generation of mature 5'-ends of tRNAs by cleaving the 5'-leader elements of precursor-tRNAs. The record is from RNAcentral. Lineage: Bacteria; Pseudomonadati; Candidatus Omnitrophota.
AAAGCAGGCAGAGAUGGUCGCCUCGAGAUUUUCUCGGGGAGGAAAGUCCGGGCUCCCGAGGGCAGCGUGCUGGACAAUCUCCAGGCUUAAGGGACCACAUUCCCUUGAGACGGAAAGUGCCACAGAAAAUAUACCGCCCCGCUAUUAGCGGGGUAAGGGUGAAAAGGUGGUGUAAGAGACCACCGCUCCAACGGUGACGUUGGAGGCAGGGCAAACCCCACGCGGAGCAAGACCAAAUAGGAGAGGAGCGAUGUGCCCGUCGCGUUAUUACUCUCGGGUAGGUCGCUAGAUUCCGACGGUAACGUCGGAACCAGAGGAAUGACCAUCGCAUACAGAACCCGGCUUAUCUGCCUGCUUUGAAA